This 462-nucleotide ribosomal RNA is filed under the name uncultured bacterium. Its description in RNAcentral is "partial 16S ribosomal RNA". It matches the Rfam family "Bacterial small subunit ribosomal RNA", at positions 338 to 795 of the family's 1533-position model. The record is from RNAcentral.
CCUACGGGAGGCAGCAGUGAGGAAUAUUGGUCAAUGGACGAAAGUCUGAACCAGCCAAGUAGCGUGCAGGAUGACGGCCCUCCGGGUUGUAAACUGCUUUUAGCUGGGAAUAAAAGGGGGCUCGUGAGCCCCGUAUUGUAUGUACCAUCAGAAAAAGGACCGGCUAAUUCCGGGCCAGCAGCCGCGGUAAUACGGAAGGUCCGGGCGUUAUCCGGAUUGUUUGGGUUUAAAGGGGGCGUAGGCCGGCUUUUAAGGCAGCUGGUAAAGUCCGCGGCUCAACCGUGGAAUUGCAGUUGAAACUGGAGGCCUUGAGUGCACACAGGGAUGCCGGAAUUCAUGGUGUAGCGGUGAAAUGCUUAGAUAUCAUGAAGAACUCCGAUCGCGAAGGCAAGUGUCCGGGGUGCAACUGACGCUGAGGCUCGAAAGUGCGGGUAUCAAACAGGAUUAGAUACCCCGGUAGUC